RNAcentral lists this unclassified non-coding RNA (510 nucleotides) under Hevea brasiliensis (rubber tree). The record is from RNAcentral. Lineage: Eukaryota; Viridiplantae; Streptophyta; Magnoliopsida; Malpighiales; Euphorbiaceae.
GUAAAUUCCAAAUCUACAUCUGGUGUCUAUAGUUCAUCAUUGCCUAAUAUUAGUUCGUGUAAGGCUUUGUUGGGGCAUUCAUGCAAUGGGCUAUAAGGCUGUUUACAUUUGUAACAUAAUCCUUUGGCUCUUAAGUGUUGGAAUUCUUGAUGUGAGUAUUGACGUGUUCCUCUGGUUCAUAGGAGUGGAGGGUUGUAUUUAGUGGUGGUUAAUGAAGAAGAGGAAGAAGGAAGGCGUAAUGUGUUUGUGGGUUUGUUUUUCAGGUUCUUUGGAUCAUUUAUAUGUCGUGGUUGAGGAUUUACAGGUCUAGGAGUUGGGCAAGAUGGUUUGGAGCUGAAGUUGGUGUUGGUCCAUGGGCCUAAUUAGCUAGAAGCCCAACGAUCUUGUGACAUUUUCAUCCCUAUCUCACAAUUUCUCAAGCAAAUGUCAUGGUGUGGAAAAUGUCAGUGAAGUCGUGGGCACAAAUUCAAAUCUUAACCUCAUCACACAAGCCAUUCAUGAAGUAUCCCA